This 274-nucleotide ribosomal RNA is filed under the name uncultured bacterium. Its description in RNAcentral is "partial 16S ribosomal RNA". It matches the Rfam family "Bacterial small subunit ribosomal RNA", at positions 523 to 796 of the family's 1533-position model. The record is from RNAcentral.
AUACGGAGGGUGCAAGCGUUAUUCGGAAUCACUGGGCGUAAAGGGUGCGUAGGCGGUUUGAUAAGUCUGAUGUGAAAUCCUAUGGCUCAACCAUAGAACUGCAUUGGAAACUGUCAGACUAGAAUACUGAAGGGGCAGAUGGAAUUAGUGGUGUAGGGGUAAAAUCCGUAGAUAUCACUAGGAAUACCGAAAGCGAAAGCGAUCUGCUGGGAAGUUAUUGACGCUGAGGCACGAAAGCGUGGGUAGCAAACAGGAUUAGAAACCCUAGUAGUCC